AACGGAAUUUGCUUAUUGCACCACAUGUGUUUUUUAUUGAACAAAUUUCUUUGGUGGCGGGAGCAAUCCUACCGCCAGAGGUUAUAACUAAACCAAACUUUUUAUUUACAGUCAAACUUGAUUUAUUAUUACAAUAGUCAAAACUUUCAACAACGGAUCUCUUGGUUCUCGCAUCGAUGAAGAACGCAGCGAAAUGCGAUACGUAAUAUGAAUUGCAGAUAUUCGUGAAUCAUCGAAUCUUUGAACGCACAUUGCGCCCUUUGGUAUUCCAAAGGGCAUGCCUGUUUGAGCGUCAUUUCUCCCUCAAACCCCCGGGUUUGGUGUUGAGCAAUACGCUAGGUUUGUUUGAAAGAAUUUAACGUGGAAACUUAUUUUAAGCGACUUAGGUUUAUCCAAAAACGCUUAUUUUGCUAGUGGCCACCACAAUUUAUUUCAUAACUUUGACCUCAAAUCAGGUAGGACUACCCGCUGAACUUAAGCAUAUCAAUAAGCGGAGGAA
Molecule: ribosomal RNA, 499 nt
Filed under: Candida tropicalis
Lineage: Eukaryota; Fungi; Ascomycota; Pichiomycetes; Serinales; Debaryomycetaceae
Description: eukaryotic LSU rRNA
Rfam family: 5.8S ribosomal RNA (bases 142-295)
Source: RNAcentral